This 84-nucleotide transfer RNA is filed under the name Candidatus Hakubella thermalkaliphila. RNAcentral describes it as "Candidatus Hakubanella thermoalkaliphilus partial tRNA-Leu". The record is from RNAcentral. Lineage: Bacteria; Bacillati; Actinomycetota; Candidatus Hakubellales; Candidatus Hakubellaceae.
GUCCGAGAGGGGACUUGAACCCCUACAGGCUAUGCGCCCACAAGGCCCUCAACCUUGCGCGUCUACCAGUUCCGCCACUCGGAC